Long non-coding RNA from Pectinophora gossypiella (pink bollworm), 3231 nucleotides. RefSeq lists it as uncharacterized. NCBI's taxonomy places the organism in Eukaryota, Metazoa, Arthropoda, Insecta, Lepidoptera, Gelechiidae. The transcript has 3 exons. The record is from RefSeq and is a predicted model, not a curated record.
AGGAUGAGUCUUUCUAACGGAAAUUUAUGACAGCUGAAAAUCAAAUGUUCAAUAUCACCAACAGUAUUUUCACAGGCGGUGCACUUGUUAUCCAGUAUUAUGCCCAAUCUAUAUAAAUGUGCAGGAGUGGUGUGGUGGCCAAAACGAAGCCGGUUCAUGGUCGUAAUAAAAUCUCGGCUAGCAACCUUCAAAUUGUUAUACCACGGUUGAGUUGGUAAAACUUCUUGUACGCUUCCGUACCAUUUUCCUUUUUCUUGUUGGUCUUCUUUCCAAAAAUCAAUCCAUAUUUCUAACAUAUCCUUUUUAAUUGAUGCAUAGAAAUCAGUGAAUGGAGUAUUUGCAACAAAUGAAACAUCUAAUAAAUUAGUCCCCUCAUAUGCAGCUUUAUCCGCAAUUUCGUUUCCUGUUAUUCCUCUAUGGGAGGGUAUCCACAUAAAGGAUAUUUCAACUCCCUUGACAGCUUUAAAUUCAUAUAAAAUUUGAAUUAUCUUAAAUAAUAAAUAGUUGGAUUUGAAGUGGAAGUUUAAAUUGUCUAGUGCCUGGAGAACACUUAAUGAAUCAGAAAAUUUGAGACAUGCUUGGUGAUUUACGACAGAGAAGGUCACUUCCAGUUAUUGAGGGUGCAAUUUGCUGACAUGGAUGAGAUCUGACACAAGCGAGACAAAGCUGUCUGCACAACUUCUUCCUCGCCUGAAGCCAUAUUGAAUAUUUGGUAUAAUACCCUUGGACUCAACAUACCAAUCAAGACGGAUUUUAAUCAUAUUCUCGAAAAUUUUUCCUAAACAAGAUGAUAACGAAAUUGGUCUAUAGGAAUUUGCAUUGUCUGGUGGUUUAUCUGUUUUAAGUACUGGCACAACACAUUGUGUUUUCCAUGACUGUGGUAUUUCUAGUUGAAGCCAAAGAGCAUUAAGUAUAUCAAGGAAUAAUAUUUGUACAGAUGGAUCUAAUUUUUUGAUUAAAAUAUAUGGAAAGUCAUCUAAUCCUGGAGAUGUGUUCCUACGACUUUGUAAACUAACUUUGAAUUCUUGAAAAGAAAAUGGUUGGAUUAAAAAAUUAGUAUUUACAUUGUCAUUAUGAAGACUAAAGAAAUUAUUUAAAUUAUCAACUUGUUCACCUCUAUCUGCAAGUUUAUCUAAAAAAGGGUUAACAAAUUCAUCACUAUAUGACCUAUUUCCAACUUUAAUGCCUUUAAAUCUUUUGAUAUAAUUCCAGAUUUGACUAAUAGGAGUAGUUCUGUUAAAACUAUCACAUAGAAUUCUCCAACCGCUUUUCUUUUCCUCAGAAAUAGUUCUCUUUUUAAUUGCAUCCAAUCUUUUAUACUUAAUAAAAUUUGCCAUACUAGGAUUAUUUCUAUAGAAAUUCAAGGCUUUAUAGGAGGCAAUUACAGCCUCCUCACAUCUUUUAUUCCACCAUGGAGCUGGCGGCUUACUUCUAUACGCGUUAGUUUUAAUAAAUCUAGGAACACACUCCAACUUAAGGGCAUUAAGCCGAUCACAAAAACAGUUAUAUGAUUCCAUUGGAUUAGAAACAUUCACAGUUACAUUGGAGAAGUAAUUUAGAGACAUUUGGCUAUAUAAACUCCAGUCUGUUUUAUCAUACAAAAACUUCUCAGUAGGAGGGUUUACCUGGUACCUGUCUAUGGCUAAUGUGAUAUUUGUAAUAGUUGGAAAGUGAUAACUACCCAUAUUAUCAUCAUGCACCAUCCACUCACACAGUGGUGUAAUAGUUGGGCUAGCAAAGCUGACAUCAAUUGCAGAUGGAUUUCUAUUAGGAUAAUUUAUAGUUGUGAAAUUACCAUCAUUUAAUAUGCAUAGGUCUAAGUCGUCCAUUAAGUCGUACAGUUGUUGUCCACGUCCUUUAAUAGAAAGGCAACCAAAAGCUGUAUGAUGUGCAUUAAAGUCACCAGCUAUGAAUAUAGGCUUUGGGAGAUCUCUAACUAUAUUACGAAGUUUACUUAUUCUAAUGUGACUAGUGGGAGGACAAUAAACACACAGGAUUGUAAGAUCGCCAUUCACUGUUGAUAGUGAUAUAGCAAUUGAUUGUACAUCUUCAUAGAAGGUAGUUUGUAGGUUUUUAUAUUUAAGAUAAGGUUUAAUAAGUAUUGCUACACCACCAUGUUCAUUCUGAGCAUUUUUAAAAUGGGUAUUGUAUCCAGAGACACGAAGAAUAUGAUUAUUAUUGAGCCAGGUUUCAUUCAGAAGGCAAAUGUCAAUAUUUUGUUCUUGCAAGAACUUAUUUAACAAUGGUUUUUUAUUGCGAACACUUUGGAUAUUAUACUGAGCAAUUCGUAACUGUGAAUGUAUAUUGGGAUCCAUUAUGAAAGAUUUUGUAAAAGCAUAUCUUUAAUUUUAGCAGUUGUGAUUGGCAGAUUGCUAACAUUGUUAGCCAACUCCACAAGUGUACGGACGAUAGCCGACGUAAGGGCCUCGUUAUUAAGUAACUGGGCCCUAACAUCGAUCGUCUCUUGCGGGGGUGGGGUAUUUUUUUCUUUUUGUACAUUUUCAUUUUUAUUUACAACAUGUACAGGAGGGAUAUUUACAUCUUUAUUUACAAUUUUGUGUACAGGUUUAUUUACAGAUUUAUUUACAAUUGCUUUAUUCGCGUAAGAAAUAGUUUUGGUUGUCUGAGGCAGGGGAGGGAAUUCAUUAUCAGCAUAGCUUAACUUUUUUGUAUUUGUAAUACUAGCAUAAGUAAUUUUAUUUCGUUUUUCUUCAAUUUUUUUCAUUUUAAUAGGACAUGCUUUUGAAAUAGCCAAAUGAGGGCCACCACAGUUCGCGCAACAUAAAUCGUUUGGUGUAUUACAUUCUUUGUAUAUAUGUUCACCGCCGCAGCAGCUGCAACGUUGCUUUCCAUUACAUAUUUUUGCUGAAUGAUUAAAUUUCAUGCAACGAUAGCAUUGCUGCAACGGAGGAACAUAAUCAAAAACCCUGUAAGAGAAUAAAUCGUAUUGCACUGUAUCUGGUAAUACAUUCGACAAAAAAGUUAAGCUUACUGUUUGAAGGGGAAUCUUUUGAUUGCCAACCUUUUUUGUGAAUCUACGUACUGCAAUAAUGUCAAAGUGGGAUGAAAGUUUGUCAUAUAGUUCUUUGUUAGAAAUAUUAGUUGGGACAAAACGGAUAAUUCCAAUCUUCUCAAUAUGAGCCGAAGGUAUAUACGCUGUCAGAUUUUGUUUUUGUAAGAAUCCUGUAUUUGUUAAGAAAUUGUUUGCCGUAAUAAAUUGUUUGAAAGUCA